AGUGAACGCUGGCGGUAGGCCUAACACAUGCAAGUCGAACGGCAGCACAGUAAGAGCUUGCUCUUACGGGUGGCGAGUGGCGAACGGGUGAGGAAUACAUCGGAAUCUACUUUUUCGUGGGGGAUAACGUAGGGAAACUUACGCUAAUACCGCAUACGACCUACGGGUGAAAGCAGGGGAUCUUCGGACCUUGCGCGAUUGAAUGAGCCGAUGUCGGAUUAGCUAGUUGGCGGGGUAAAGGCCCACCAAGGCGACGAUCCGUAGCUGGUCUGAGAGGAUGAUCAGCCACACUGGAACUGAGACACGGUCCAGACUCCUACGGGAGGCAGCAGUGGGGAAUAUUGGACAAAGGGCGCAAGCCUGAUCCAGCCAUACCGCGUGGGUGAAGAAGGCCUUCGGGUUGUAAAGCCCUUUUGUUGGGAAAGAAAAGCAGCAGGUUAAUACCCCGCUGUUCUGACGGUACCCAAAGAAUAAGCACCGGCUAACUUCGUG
RNAcentral lists this ribosomal RNA (492 nucleotides) under uncultured bacterium. RNAcentral describes it as "partial 16S ribosomal RNA". It matches the Rfam family "Bacterial small subunit ribosomal RNA", at positions 29 to 507 of the family's 1533-position model. The record is from RNAcentral.